RNAcentral lists this long non-coding RNA (545 nucleotides) under Mus pahari (shrew mouse). RNAcentral's name for it is "lncRNA (MGP_PahariEiJ_G0002287.1)". The record is from RNAcentral. Lineage: Eukaryota; Metazoa; Chordata; Mammalia; Rodentia; Muridae.
CCCAGUCCCUCAGGAUCUUUCAUGGACCAGGCCUGAAGCUCCACUUAGCAGCCAAGUCAGGGCUUCAGAGCAAGGUUUGUACUCUAGACAUGUCAUCUGCUUCCCACACCCGUCACCCUAGCAAGCCUUCUACCCUCUCUGCAGGCAAUCAAUCUUGAAGACAUUAAUGAUUCUGUGACAGCUUCAUGACGACUUCUUACCAGUCUCUGUCCUCACCUAAGAUCUAUGCCCCAAUAUCCCACUCAUCCCCAACUGACCUGCAUAGACAUUGGCCCGACACAGAAGCUGCCACUAUGGGCCUUACAGCUGGGAGGCUGAGUCCCAGAGGCCCAGAGUGAGGAGGCAGGUGCUGGGAGAAACUGACCAAGGGAGCUGUCUUCAGACACACCAGAAGAGGGCAUCGGAUCCCAUUACAGAUGGUUGUGAGCUACCAUGUGGUUCCUGGAAUUUGAACUCAGGACCUUCGGAAGAGCAGUCAGUGCUCUUAACCACCGAGCCACCUCUCCAGCCCGGAAUUAUUUUUUAAAAAAUUGUUUUUAAAAAUA